This is a non-coding RNA of Hydra vulgaris (swiftwater hydra), 1030 nucleotides long. NCBI's taxonomy places the organism in Eukaryota, Metazoa, Cnidaria, Hydrozoa, Anthoathecata, Hydridae. The record is from RefSeq and is a predicted model, not a curated record.
CGAGAAAUGUAUUAAGCUACUGCUUUUAAAAAACAAUUGUUAAGUUAUUCUCAAACAAUUUAGUUAUACUUCAACGAAAACUUUAAUAGUAUCGGAGGAUAAAAUAUUCAACGACACACUUUUAAUUGAAAUUGAAGGUUUGAUAAACAAAGUUGCUAAUCUUAAAAACAAACUUAAUGAAGAACGACAACUGUACAACAAUACAAUUCAAUAUCAACAGCAAGUUGUUAAUAAUAUUCUUUACAGAUUAAUCUAAUACUGGUUGCUUGGGAUCUAUCCUAAGCAACCUGUAUUUUAUUUAACCUGUAGAGAGCUUUUUUUGCAUUAGUUAGAACAACAAAGAGAAAAAGUUAAUUCUGCUCUUAGGUUUAUUUUGUUAUUUGUAAAUUCAUUGUUUUAUGUUGUUACCGGUAACUGCAUUACAAGUAAACUCAUUCCAAAGUUUUAUACAUCGAACUUAAAACGUUUACCUGUCAACAAAAGUACAUCAUUUAAAUAAAUUAACUAUACUAUUUAAUUACUUUUUGACGUAAAAAUUCAACUUUGUUUACUAGCCAGUUUGACCUUUAAGCGAACAACAGCAUUUCCUAGUUAAAGUUUUAAAGCCAAUCUGGUAACAUAUGCACAAUGCCAUUGCUGGUGAAUAAGUUGGUACUUAUAUGCUAAUACUACGUUAACUAAAAUACUACGUUAGAUCAAAAUUAAAUCUACAAUUUAACAAUAAUAUUGACACAACUAAAUUUUAACCUAUUGAAGAGAAUAAAAUUGUUAUAAAGUCUUUUUAAAUUAUUGCAUAAUUAAGCUUUUAAUAAAUGGGAAAAUGGUUUUUGUUAGUUAGUAAUGAUAGCUACAACGCAACAUAGUUACGUGGAACACUAUAAUAAUUAAUAAUGUUCUAUAGUAGCUUCUGAUACAUUCCCAUCUUGUUUUUUAACUGAAUGGUCAACUUGGAAUUGUAAGUAAUCGGUUUGAAUGUUUUAUAGACUGUAUGUUUGCCAUAAAUUUAUGUUUUCGUUGACAUAAGCAAAUA